UGCGUAGGCGGAAUAUUAAGUCAGUGGUGAAAUCCUGCGGCUCAACCGUAGAACUGCCAUUGAUACUGAUAUUCUUGAAUGUAGUUGAGGUAGGCGGAAUGUGUAAUGUAGCGGUGAAAUGCUUAGAUAUUACACAGAACACCGAUUGCGAAGGCAGCUUACUAAACUAUGAUUGACGCUGAGGCACGAAAGCGUGGUGAGCGAACAGGAUUAGAUACCCUGGUAGUCC
Molecule: ribosomal RNA, 229 nt
Filed under: uncultured bacterium
Lineage: Bacteria
Description: partial 16S ribosomal RNA
Rfam family: Bacterial small subunit ribosomal RNA
Source: RNAcentral